RNAcentral lists this ribosomal RNA (464 nucleotides) under uncultured bacterium. RNAcentral's name for it is "partial 16S ribosomal RNA". It matches the Rfam family "Bacterial small subunit ribosomal RNA", at positions 338 to 795 of the family's 1533-position model. The record is from RNAcentral.
CCUACGGGUGGCAGCAGUGGGGAAUCUUCCGCAAUGGGCGAAAGCCUGACGGAGCAACGCCGCGUGAUCGAAUGAAGGCCUUCGGGUUGUAAAGAUCUGUUGCCAGGGACGAAUAAGCAAUGUGAAUAGUUUUGUGUAUGCCGGUACCUGUUUAGAAAGCUCCGGCUAACUACGUACCAGCAGCCGCGGUAAUACGUAGGGAGCAAGCGUUGUCCGGAUUUACUGGGCGUAAAGGGCGCGUAGGUGGGCGCUUAAGUCAGGUGUGAAAACGCCGGGCACAACCUGGAGACUGCACUUGAAACUGGGGAUCUUGAGUGCGCGAGAAGUAUGCGGAAUGCGUGGUGUAGCGGUGAAAUGCAUAGAUAUCACGCAGAACUCCGAUGGCGAAGGCAGCAUACCGGCGCCCGACUGACGCUGAGGCACGAAAGCGUGGGGAUCGAACAGGAUUAGAUACCCGAGUAGUC